CCCUAGCCCAGAUUGCAGCAAUUGUUUGAGCUCAUUUUUUGGAUUGGGCUGCGGCGGCAAAGCCGCCGCAGCCCAAUCCAAAAAUAGCGAGUGUGGAAAGCUGGAAAUUGC
This 111-nucleotide unclassified non-coding RNA is filed under the name Chryseobacterium soldanellicola. RNAcentral's name for it is "Flavo-1 RNA". Lineage: Bacteria; Pseudomonadati; Bacteroidota; Flavobacteriia; Flavobacteriales; Weeksellaceae. The record is from RNAcentral.